This 386-nucleotide ribosomal RNA is filed under the name Orthogeomys grandis (giant pocket gopher). RNAcentral's name for it is "partial 12S ribosomal RNA". It matches the Rfam family "Bacterial small subunit ribosomal RNA", at positions 796 to 1379 of the family's 1533-position model. The record is from RNAcentral. Lineage: Eukaryota; Metazoa; Chordata; Mammalia; Rodentia; Geomyidae.
GUAGCCAUAAACCUAAAUAAAUACACUAACAAAUUUAUUCGCCUGAGAACUACAAGCAACCGCUAGAAACUCAAAGGACUUGGCGGUGCUUUAUAUCCGUCUAGAGGAGCCUGUUCCAAAAUCGAUAAACCCCGAUAUACCUCACCACUUCUUGCUAAUUCAGCCUGUAUACCGCCAUCUUCAGCUAACCCUAAAAGGAACAUUAGUAAGCAUAAACAUUAUAACCUAAUAAAAAAGUUAGGUCAAGGUGCAGCCAAUGAAGUGGAGUGCAAUGGGCUACAUUUUCUGCAAUCAGAACAUCACGGAAUUCUCUCUGAAAACAGAGAACAAAGGAGGAUUUAGUAGUAAGUUAAAAAUAGAGUGUUUAACUGAAUAGAGCAAUGAAG